GGAUAACCUGCCCUAUCGUCUGGAAUAACCUCGGGAAACUGAGAAUAAGGCCGGAUAGUUCACAAAGCCUGGAACGGUUUGUGGAUCAAGGUAGGAUGGGUCUGCGGCGUAUCAGGUAGUAGGGGGUGUAAAGGACCCCCUAGCCUUCGACGCGUACGGGUGUUGGGAGACAUAGCCCGGAGAUGGAUUCUGAGACACGAAUCCAGACCCUACGGGGUGCAGCAGGCGCGAAAACUUCACACUGCAGGAAACUGUGAUGAGGGAACUCCAAGUGUGUGCACUAUGUGUACACUUUUAUGAACUUUUAAUCGGUUCAGGAAUAAGGGCUGGGAAAGACCGGUGCCAGCCGCCGCGGUAAUACCGGCAGCUCAAGUGGUCGUCGCUUUUAUUGGGCCUAAAACGUCCGUAGCCUGUUUGGUAAAUCUGUGGGUAAAUCAACUCGCUCAACGAGUUGAAUUCUGCAGAGACUGCCAGACUAGGGACCGGGAGAGGUGUGGGGUACUCGAGGGGUAGGGGUAAAAUCCUGUCAUCCUUCGAGGACCACCAGUUGCGAAGGCGCCACACUGGAACGGAUCCGACGGUCAGGGACGAAGCCUAGGGGCACGAACCGGAUUAGAUACCCGGGUAGUCCUAGGUGUAAACGCUGUGAACUUGGUGUCGGGGGUCCGCAAGGGGUCCCCGGUGCCGGAGUGAAGAUGUUAAGUUCACUGCCUGGGGAGUACGGUCGCAAGGCUGAAACUU
Molecule: ribosomal RNA, 741 nt
Filed under: uncultured Candidatus Poseidoniales archaeon
Lineage: Archaea; Methanobacteriati; Thermoplasmatota; Candidatus Poseidoniia; Candidatus Poseidoniales
Description: bacterial SSU rRNA
Rfam family: Archaeal small subunit ribosomal RNA
Source: RNAcentral